CGCCUCGGUGUCAAAAGUCAAACAGCUGUGUUUCUGUGACACUAACUCUGUAAUAACGAGUUUCUGCGCAGGUGAGGCGCCAGCAGGCAGCAGCGAAGCGGAAAUGGAGAGCGCCGUCCGCUGCGGCUACUUAUACUUCCGUUUCACCAACAGUGGAAAGACUUUUCCAAAGAAGAACUUCGUUCAGCUCUGCCGCGGCCACGAGAAUGGCUUUUCGCAGCUGCUUGUCUACGAGGACGAGCGGAGUUCCAUGGCAAUGAGCAACUGCCUGUGCAUGAUCCUCGGGCAGGAGGCGGAGGAGGCGAAGGAGUGGCAAGGG
Long non-coding RNA from Penaeus indicus, 319 nucleotides. RefSeq lists it as uncharacterized. NCBI's taxonomy places the organism in Eukaryota, Metazoa, Arthropoda, Malacostraca, Decapoda, Penaeidae. The record is from RefSeq and is a predicted model, not a curated record. The transcript has 3 exons.